AUGUUUGUUUACAGAGGAUGUUUGUUUACAGAGGAUGUUUGUUUACAGAGGAUGUUUGUUUACGUGCUGCUUUGUUGCCAUUUGCUUUGUACCUUUGUUAUUAUUAUAUUGAAGGAGUUGAGACAAAACGUGUUAACCUCUUACCACACACACACACUGUGUGUGUCCCCUUCCCUCUUACCACACACACACUGUGUGUGUCCCCUUCCCUCUUACCACACACACACUGUGUGUGUCCCCUUCCCUCUUACCACACACACACUGUGUGUGUCCCCUUCCCUCUUACCACACACACACACUGUGUGUGUCCCCUUCCCUCUUACCACACACACACUGUGUGUGUCCCCUUCCCUCUUACCACACACACACUGUGUGUGUCCCCUUCCCUCUUACCACACACACACUGUGUGUGUCCCCUUCCCUCUUACCACACACACACUGUGUGUGUCCCCUUCCCUCUUACCACACACACACUGUGUGUGUCCCCUUCCCUCUUACCACACACACACUGUGUGUGUCCCCUUCCCUCUUACCACACACACACUGUGUGUGUCCCCUUCCCUCUUACCACACACACACUGUGUGUGUCCCCUUCCCUCUUACCACACACACACUGUGUGUGUCCCCUUCCCUCUUACCACACACACACUGUGUGUGUCCCCUUCCCUCUUACCACACACACACUGUGUGUGUCCCCUUCCCUCUUACCACACACACACUGUGUGUGUCCCCUUCCCUCUUACCACACACACACUGUGUGUGUCCCCUUCCCUCUUACCACACACACACUGUGUGUGUCCCCUUCCCUCUUACCACACACACACACUGUGUGUGUCCCCUUCCCUCUUACCACACACACACACUGUGUGUGUCCCCUUCCCUCUUACCACACACACACUGUGUGUGUCCCCUUCCCUCUUACCACACACACACUGUGUGUGUCCCCUUCCCUCUUACCACACACACACUGUGUGUGUCCCCUUCCCUCUUACCACACACACACUGUGUGUGUCCCCUUCCCUCUUACCACACACACACACUGUGUGUGUCCCCUUCCCUCUUACCACACACACACUGUGUGUGUCCCCUUCCCUCUUACCACACACACACUGUGUGUGUCCCCUUCCCUCUUACCACACACACACUGUGUGUGUCCCCUUCCCUCUUACCACACACACACACUGUGUGUGUCCCCUUCCCUCUUACCACACACACACUGUGUGUGUCCCCUUCCCUCUUACCACACACACACUGUGUGUGUCCCCUUCCCUCUUACCACACACACACACUGUGUGUGUCCCCUUCCCUCUUACUACACACACACUGUGUGUGUCCCCUUCCCUCUUACCACACACACACUGUGUGUGUCCCCUUCCCUCUUACCAUAGAAUUAUUAGCUCAAGUUCAAACGCCAUUGUUUGA
This 1422-nucleotide long non-coding RNA is filed under the name Oncorhynchus kisutch (coho salmon). RNAcentral describes it as "lncRNA (ENSOKIG00005037437.1)". Lineage: Eukaryota; Metazoa; Chordata; Actinopteri; Salmoniformes; Salmonidae. The record is from RNAcentral.